This 211-nucleotide long non-coding RNA is filed under the name Hordeum vulgare. RNAcentral's name for it is "long non-coding RNA (HVUL_LNC004744)". The record is from RNAcentral. Lineage: Eukaryota; Viridiplantae; Streptophyta; Magnoliopsida; Poales; Poaceae.
UUCAUUUAUGUUACAAUAUCAUUCUCAACCUCGCUUGGUCUGCAAAAAUAUAACUCAUCGUGAGCAUUUGCAGAAGUACUUUGUUGCAUUGUCUUUAUAAAUCAUGACAAAUUAUGAUUGUUGUGAUUUGGGAUUUGAAGUCAUGCCAUUAUGAUAAAUUAUGUUGUUGAUGUGAUGAUAUUGAUUUCAAGUCAUGCAAAAUUAUGUUGCU